Molecule: transfer RNA, 72 nt
Filed under: Camelus bactrianus (Bactrian camel)
Lineage: Eukaryota; Metazoa; Chordata; Mammalia; Artiodactyla; Camelidae
Also listed under: 2 other names
Rfam family: tRNA
About the family: Transfer RNA (tRNA) molecules are approximately 80 nucleotides in length. Their secondary structure includes four short double-helical elements and three loops (D, anti-codon, and T loops). Further hydrogen bonds mediate the characteristic L-shaped molecular structure. tRNAs have two regions of fundamental functional importance: the anti-codon, which is responsible for specific mRNA codon recognition, and the 3' end, to which the tRNAs corresponding amino acid is attached (by aminoacyl-tRNA synthetases). tRNAs cope with the degeneracy of the genetic code in two manners: having more than one tRNA (with a specific anti-codon) for a particular amino acid; and 'wobble' base-pairing, i.e. permitting non-standard base-pairing at the 3rd anti-codon position.
Source: Rfam by way of RNAcentral
GAGUGUAUAGCUCAGUGGUAAGGCGUGUGCUUAGCAUGCACAGGGUCUUAGGUUCAAUCCCCAGUACCUGCA